This 30-nucleotide non-coding RNA is filed under the name Mus musculus (house mouse). Lineage: Eukaryota; Metazoa; Chordata; Mammalia; Rodentia; Muridae. The record is from RNAcentral.
UGAGUGCUUAUAAUGUGCCGGGUACUGUUU